AGCAGCCGCGGUAAUUCCAGCUCCAAUGGCGUAUAUUAAAGUUGUUGCAGUUAAAAAGCUCGUAGUUGAAUUUCGGGGUUAGUAGGUUGGUCAUGCCUCUGGUAUGUACUGGUCUCACUGAUUCCUCCUUCCUGAUGAACCUUAAUGCCAUUUAUUUGGUGUUUUGGGGAAUUUGGACUGUUACUUUGAAAAAUUAGAGUGUUUAAAGCAAGCUAACGCUUGAAUACAUUAGCAUGGAAUAAUGAAAUAGGACGUUCGAUCCUAUUUUGUUGGUUUCUAGGAUUGACGUAAUGAUUAAUAGGGAUAGUUGGGGGCAUUAGUAUUCAAUUGUCAGAGGUUGAAAUUCUUGGAUUUAUUGAAGACUAACUACUGCGAAAGCAUUUGCCAAGGAUGUUUUCAUUAAUCAAGAACGAAAGUUAGGGGAUCGAAGACGAAUCAGAUACCGUCGUAGUCUUAACCAUAAACUAUGCCGACUAGGGAUCGGAUGAUGUUAAUUUUUUAAUGACUCAU
RNAcentral lists this ribosomal RNA (510 nucleotides) under uncultured Glomeraceae. Its description in RNAcentral is "SSU rRNA". It matches the Rfam family "Eukaryotic small subunit ribosomal RNA", at positions 569 to 1079 of the family's 1831-position model. The record is from RNAcentral. Lineage: Eukaryota; Fungi; Glomeromycota; Glomeromycetes; Glomerales; Glomeraceae.